RNAcentral lists this ribosomal RNA (2891 nucleotides) under Pseudomonas sp. B21-009. RNAcentral describes it as "23S ribosomal RNA". It matches the Rfam family "Bacterial large subunit ribosomal RNA". The record is from RNAcentral. Lineage: Bacteria; Pseudomonadati; Pseudomonadota; Gammaproteobacteria; Pseudomonadales; Pseudomonadaceae.
GGUCAAGUGAAGAAGCGCAUACGGUGGAUGCCUUGGCAGUCAGAGGCGAUGAAAGACGUGGUAGCCUGCGAUAAGCUUCGGGGAGUCGGCAAACAGACUUUGAUCCGGAGAUCUCUGAAUGGGGGAACCCACUCAGCAUAAGCUGAGUAUCUUGUACUGAAUACAUAGGUGCAAGAGGCGAACCAGGGGAACUGAAACAUCUAAGUACCCUGAGGAAAAGAAAUCAACCGAGAUUCCCUUAGUAGUGGCGAGCGAACGGGGACUAGCCCUUAAGUGGCUUUGAGAUUAGCGGAACGCUCUGGAAAGUGCGGCCAUAGUGGGUGAUAGCCCUGUACGCGAAAAUCUCUUAGUCAUGAAAUCGAGUAGGACGGAGCACGAGAAACUUUGUCUGAAUAUGGGGGGACCAUCCUCCAAGGCUAAAUACUACUGACUGACCGAUAGUGAACCAGUACCGUGAGGGAAAGGCGAAAAGAACCCCGGAGAGGGGAGUGAAAUAGAUCCUGAAACCGUAUGCGUACAAGCAGUGGGAGCCUACUUUGUUAGGUGACUGCGUACCUUUUGUAUAAUGGGUCAGCGACUUAUAUUCAGUGGCGAGCUUAACCGAAUAGGGGAGGCGUAGCGAAAGCGAGUCUUAAUAGGGCGUUUAGUCGCUGGGUAUAGACCCGAAACCGGGCGAUCUAUCCAUGGGCAGGUUGAAGGUUAGGUAACACUGACUGGAGGACCGAACCGACUACCGUUGAAAAGUUAGCGGAUGACCUGUGGAUCGGAGUGAAAGGCUAAUCAAGCUCGGAGAUAGCUGGUUCUCCUCGAAAGCUAUUUAGGUAGCGCCUCAUGUAUCACUGUAGGGGGUAGAGCACUGUUUCGGCUAGGGGGUCAUCCCGACUUACCAAACCGAUGCAAACUCCGAAUACCUACAAGUGCCGAGCAUGGGAGACACACGGCGGGUGCUAACGUCCGUCGUGAAAAGGGAAACAACCCAGACCGUCAGCUAAGGUCCCAAAGUUAUGGUUAAGUGGGAAACGAUGUGGGAAGGCUUAGACAGCUAGGAGGUUGGCUUAGAAGCAGCCACCCUUUAAAGAAAGCGUAAUAGCUCACUAGUCGAGUCGGCCUGCGCGGAAGAUGUAACGGGGCUCAAACCAUACACCGAAGCUACGGGUAUCACUUAGGUGAUGCGGUAGAGGAGCGUUCUGUAAGCCUGUGAAGGUGAGUUGAGAAGCUUGCUGGAGGUAUCAGAAGUGCGAAUGCUGACAUGAGUAACGACAAUGGGAGUGAAAAACUCCCACGCCGAAAGACCAAGGUUUCCUGCGCAACGUUAAUCGACGCAGGGUUAGUCGGUCCCUAAGGCGAGGCUGAAAAGCGUAGUCGAUGGAAAACAGGUUAAUAUUCCUGUACUUCUGGUUAUUGCGAUGGAGGGACGGAGAAGGCUAGGCCAGCUUGGCGUUGGUAGUCCAAGUUUAAGGUGGUAGGCUGAGAUCUUAGGUAAAUCCGGGAUCUUAAGGCCGAGAGCUGAUGACGAGUUGCCAUUAGGCGACGAAGUGGUUGAUGCCAUGCUUCCAAGAAAAGCUUCUAAGCUUCAGAUAACCAGGAACCGUACCCCAAACCGACACAGGUGGUUGGGUAGAGAAUACCAAGGCGCUUGAGAGAACUCGGGUGAAGGAACUAGGCAAAAUGGCACCGUAACUUCGGGAGAAGGUGCGCCGGUGAGGGUGAAGGACUUGCUCCGUAAGCCCAUGCCGGUCGAAGAUACCAGGCCGCUGCGACUGUUUAUUAAAAACACAGCACUCUGCAAACACGAAAGUGGACGUAUAGGGUGUGACGCCUGCCCGGUGCCGGAAGGUUAAUUGAUGGGGUUAGCUAACGCGAAGCUCUUGAUCGAAGCCCCGGUAAACGGCGGCCGUAACUAUAACGGUCCUAAGGUAGCGAAAUUCCUUGUCGGGUAAGUUCCGACCUGCACGAAUGGCGUAACGAUGGCGGCGCUGUCUCCACCCGAGACUCAGUGAAAUUGAAAUCGCUGUGAAGAUGCAGUGUAUCCGCGGCUAGACGGAAAGACCCCGUGAACCUUUACUAUAGCUUUGCACUGGACUUUGAAUUUGCUUGUGUAGGAUAGGUGGGAGGCUUUGAAGCGUGGACGCCAGUUCGCGUGGAGCCAUCCUUGAAAUACCACCCUGGCAACUUUGAGGUUCUAACUCAGGUCCGUUAUCCGGAUCGAGGACAGUGUAUGGUGGGUAGUUUGACUGGGGCGGUCUCCUCCUAAAGAGUAACGGAGGAGUACGAAGGUGCGCUCAGACCGGUCGGAAAUCGGUCGUAGAGUAUAAAGGCAAAAGCGCGCUUGACUGCGAGACAGACACGUCGAGCAGGUACGAAAGUAGGUCUUAGUGAUCCGGUGGUUCUGUAUGGAAGGGCCAUCGCUCAACGGAUAAAAGGUACUCCGGGGAUAACAGGCUGAUACCGCCCAAGAGUUCAUAUCGACGGCGGUGUUUGGCACCUCGAUGUCGGCUCAUCACAUCCUGGGGCUGAAGCCGGUCCCAAGGGUAUGGCUGUUCGCCAUUUAAAGUGGUACGCGAGCUGGGUUUAGAACGUCGUGAGACAGUUCGGUCCCUAUCUGCCGUGGACGUUUGAGAUUUGAGAGGGGCUGCUCCUAGUACGAGAGGACCGGAGUGGACGAACCUCUGGUGUUCCGGUUGUCACGCCAGUGGCAUUGCCGGGUAGCUAUGUUCGGAAGAGAUAACCGCUGAAAGCAUCUAAGCGGGAAACUUGCCUCAAGAUGAGAUCUCACUGGAGCCUUGAGCUCCCUGAAGGGCCGUCGAAGACUACGACGUUGAUAGGUUGGGUGUGUAAGCGCUGUGAGGCGUUGAGCUAACCAAUACUAAUUGCCCGUGAGGCUUGACCAU